CUACGGGCUGCUCCAGUCGAGAAUCUUCCGCAAUGGCCGAAAGGCUGACGGAGCGACGCCGCGUGAUUGAUGAAGUCUUUAGGGAUGUAAAAAUCUUUUCUCAAGGAGGAAGUUUAUUGACGUUACUUGAGGAAUAAGGAGUUGCUAAACUCGUGCCAGCAGCAGCGGUAAUACGAGUGCUCCAAGCGUUAUCCGGAAUUAUUGGGCGUAAAGGGUGCGUAGGCUGAUUUAUUAGUCUCUUGUUAAAGAUCCGGGCACAACUCGGAAAAAGCAAGAGAAACGGUAGGUCUUGAGAGUGUGAGAGGCAAGCGGAACUUAUGGUGUAGGGGUGAAAUCCGUUGAUAUCAUAAGGAACACCAAAAGCGAAGGCAGCUUGCUGGCACAUUUCUGACGCUGAGGCACGAAAGCGUGGGUAGCGAAUGGGAUUAGAUACCCGAGUAGUC
Molecule: ribosomal RNA, 443 nt
Filed under: uncultured bacterium
Lineage: Bacteria
Description: partial 16S ribosomal RNA
Rfam family: Bacterial small subunit ribosomal RNA
Source: RNAcentral